This 590-nucleotide ribosomal RNA is filed under the name uncultured bacterium. RNAcentral describes it as "bacterial SSU rRNA". The stretch from base 1 to 506 matches the Rfam family "Bacterial small subunit ribosomal RNA", at positions 338 to 873 of the family's 1533-position model. The record is from RNAcentral.
CCUACGGGAGGCAGCAGUGGGGAAUCUUGCGCAAUGGGGGCAACCCUGACGCAGCCAUGCCGCGUGAAUGAUGAAGGCCUUAGGGUUGUAAAGUUCUUUUGCCCGGGACGAUGAUGACGGUAACGGGAGAAUAAGCUCCGGCUAACUUCGUGCCAGCAGCCGCGGUAAUACGAAGGGGGCUAGCGUUGUUCGGAAUUACUGGGCGUAAAGCGCGCGCAGGCGGUUCGAUAAGUUAGGGGUGAAAUCCCUGGGCUCAACCCAGGAAUGGCCUUUAAGACUGUCGAGCUAGAGGACGAGAGAGGUGAGUGGAAUUCCCAGUGUAGAGGUGAAAUUCGUAGAUAUUGGGAAGAACACCGGUGGCGAAGGCGGCUCACUGGCUCGUUUCUGACGCUGAGGCGCGAAAGCGUGGGGAGCAAACAGGAUUAGAUACCCUGGUAGUCCACGCCCUAAACGAUGAGUGCAGUGUCGGAGCUAGCUCUCGCGCGCAGCACGCUACGCACUCCGCCGUCGGGUAGGUACGGCCGCGAACGUUAAACGUACAAGAAGUAGACGGCGUGAGACGNGCCGACGGACGACGACGAGGGAGUAGG